GUCAGUAUAUGCCACUUCCUUACAAAUACACUACAUGACCAAAAUUAUGGGCAUUAAUAUGGAGUUGGUCCCCCCUUUGUUAUUAUAACAGCCUUCACUCUUCUGGGUAGGCUUUCCACUAGAUGUUGGAAUAUUGCUCCAGGGACUUGCUUCCAUUUAGCCAUAAGAGCAUUAAUGCAGUCGGGCACUGAUGUUGAAUGAUUAGGCCUGGCUCGCAGACAGCAUUCCAAUUCAUUCCAAAGGUUUUCGAUGGGGUUGAGGUCAGGGCUCUGUGCAGGCCAGUCAAGUUCUGCCACACCGAUCUCAGCAUUUCUGUAUGAACCUUGCUUUAUGCACAGGGGCAUUGUCAUGUUGAAACAGGAAAGGGCCUUCCCCAAACUGUUGCCACAAAGUUGGAAGCAAAGAAUCGUCUAGAAUGUCAUUGUAUGCUGUAGCGUUAAAAUUACCAUUCACUGGAACUAAGAGGCCUAGCACGAACCAUGAAAAACGGCCCCAAACCAUUAUUUUCCUCCACCAAACUUUACAGUUGGCUCUAUGCAUUGGGUCAGGUAGCGUUCUUCUGGCAUCUGCCAAGCCCAGAUUCAUCCAUCGGACUGCGAGAUGGUGAAGCAUGAUCAUUCCAGAGAGCGCGUUUCCCAUGCUCCAGUCUAAUGGCUGCAAGCUCUACACCACUCCAGCCAACGCUUGGCAUUGCACAUGGUGAUCUUAGGCUUGUGUGUGGCUGCUCAGCCAUCGAUACCUAUUUCAUGAAGCUCCUAACGAAAAGACAUUGCUUCUAGUAUCAGGAAUCAAGGUAAGAUGCAGACACGUCGAAUUGACAAUGGUUUAAUAUUCCAACAGGGGCAGGCAAUAGUCAGGUCAAGGCAGGGGUCAGUAAACCAGAGGUGGGGCAACAGUACCGGACGGCAGGCAGGGUCAGGGUAGGCAGAGGUCAACAAUCCAGAGGUGGGGCAAAGGUACAGGUCAGCAGGCAGGCUCAGCGUCAGGGACAGGCAGAGUGGUCAGGCAGGCGGGCUCAGAGUCAGGACAGGCAAGGGUCAAAACCAGGAGGGUGAGAAAAAGGAGAGACUGGAAAAAACAGGAGCUGAGAAAAAACGCUGGUUGACUUGACAAACAAGACGAACUGGCAACGGACAAACAGAGAACACAGGAGACAAAGGGCUGUGAGACAUACGUAGGUUUGACUCUGGACACAUGAAAGGUGGGAUGUAUACGAAGAGUACUUGGCAACAGAAGACUAACAGCAGAGGGGCUAAUAAUCUUGGAAAUGGGAAAUGGACCGAUAAACCGGGGAGAGAGUUUGCCGGAGGGACAGAUCCCGGGUGGAUAACCAUACCUCCUGCCCGAGACGAUACCGGGGAGCUGGGGUCCGAUGGCGAUCCGCCUGUCGUUGAUACCUGGAGGUGGUCUUGAGGAGGGCCGACCAGGAUUUCCUCCAGGUACGACGACAGCGACGGACAAACAUCUGGGCAGAAGGUACACGGCCCUCUUCCUCCUGCUCGGGGAAGAGCGGGGGCUGAUAUCCCAGGGAACACUCAAUCGGAGAUAGGCCUGUGGCAGAGCAGGGAAGGCUGUUGUGGGCGUACUCAACCCACACCAGCUGCUGCCUCCAGGAGAUGGGAUUGGCGGAGACCAGGCAGCGCAGAGUAGUCUCAAGAUCCUGCUUGGCUCGCUCUGACUGGCCAUUGUACUGGGGAUGGAACCCAGAAGACAGGCUGGCCAACAACCCAAUGAGGGCACAGAACACCUUCCAGAACCGGGACAAGAACUGAGGCCCCCAGUCGGAGACCAUGUCUGCGGGCAGUCCAUGGAUCCGGAAGAGGUGCUGCACCAGGAACUGGGCCAUCUCCUUGGCCGAGGGUAGUUUAGGGAGAGUUAUGUAGUGAGCGGCCUUGGAAAACCGGUCAACCACAGUCAGGAUGGCGUUGUUGCCCUCAGACGGGGGAAGACCCAUGACAAAAUCCAGGGAAAUGUGGGACCAGGAUCGGUGAGGGGCAGGCAGUGGUUGCAGAAGACCAGCCGGCGCUUGCCGAGGAGUCUUAUGUUGGGCACAGACUGUGCAGGCGUAUACAAACGCGGCAACAUCCGGAACCACCAGGGUUCGGCUGGGACCACUGCGCCUCCCGGACCUGGUUCCCUAUACCCCAGUUGAAACCCAGAAAAGAUAUGGUGGAACGUUUGAACUCGCACUUCUCUGCUUUUACAAACAGCUGGUUCUCCAGGAGGCGUUGGAGAACCUGUCAGACGUGGAGCACAUAUUCUUGGGUGGAAUGGGAGAUGAUGAGGACAAAGACAGACCGGUUCAACAUGUCCCGGAGAACGUCAUUGACCAGACACUGGAACACAGCAGGGGCAUUGGUAAGGCCAAAUGGCAUGAACCGAUACUCGUAAUGACCACAGGCCGUGUUGAAGGUGACUCUUCCAUUUGCAAGGUGGGAUCCCUGGGCGUGCGAGCAACAUCCAAUAACCUCUCCCUCCGUUGUUCCCGUAAUCGCCCAUCGAUACGGAUGGUCAAGCUCUGUAGGUAACUACCGGGCUGCAAGCUUGUCCUUGACCUCCUCAGAGACGCCGUGCAGGAACAUAUCGAACAUUGCCUCUUGAUUCCAAGCACUCUCCGCUUGUUCCCACACAGCAGUAGCCCAGGUGAGAGCCCUCCCGGUCAUCAGCGUGAUGAGGUAGGCUAUCUUGGAGCGAUCCGAGGGGAAGGAGGAGGGCUGAAGCUUGAAGACGAGGAUACAUUGAGCUAGGAACGCCCGACAGGUGCUCGGCUCUCCACUGAAGCAUUCCGGAGGAGGUAAGUAGGGCUCUCAAGAAGGUGGAGUGAUCAAUGAGACGGCGCUGCUUGUACUUCGCGGCUGAGCCGUUGUUGCUCCUAGACAUUUCCACUUCACAAUAAAAGCAUUCACAGUUGACCAGGGCAGCUGUAGCAGGGCAGAAAUGUGAAGAACUGACUUGUUGGAAAACAUGACUGUACCAUGUUGAAAGUCACUGAGCGCUUCAGUAAGGCCAUUCUACUGCCAAUAUUUGUCUAUGGAGAUUGCAUGGCUGUGUGCUCGAUUGUAUACACCUGUCAGCAACGGGUGUUGCUAUAAUAGCCCGAAUCCACUCAUUUGAAGGUGUGUCCACAUACUUUUGUAUUUAUAGUGCAGCUGAAUACCUGUGCAAACCAUUGCAAAACAUUCUGCAACUAAACCAAGUGUUUCUUAUUGGACAAGUCCAGGUUAGUCCCUCUCAGUUUUCGCCCGUCUGCAUCCGUUUGGUUUCUAGUGAAUACAUCCCUCAGUCAUGAAAUGUGGUUGUCCAGUCUGAAAUGUGGUUGUCCAGUCAUGAAAUGUGGUUGUCCAGUCUGAAAUGUGGUUGUCCAGUCUGAAUUGUGGUUGUCCAGUCUGAAAUGUGGUUGUCCAGUCUGAAAUGUGGUUGUCCAUUCGGAAUUGUGGUUGUCCAGUCUGAAAUGUGGUUGUCCAUUCGGAAUUGUGGUUGUCCAGUCUGAAAUGUGGUUGUCCAGUCUGACAUGUGGUUGUCCAUCAUGAAAUGUGGUUGUCCAGUCUGAAUGUGGUUGUCCAGUCUGAAAUGUUGUUGUCCAGUCAUGAAAUGUGGUUGUCCAGUCUGAAAUGUGUUUGUCCAGUCUGAAAUGUGGUUGUCCAGUCUGAAAUGUGGUUGUCCAGUCUGAAUUGUGUCUCAUAACUCCUCUUUAUCUCUCUAUUUUACAGAUGAGUCUUGCCAUCGGUAGACAUCAGUCGGCUCGCCAAAUUGCUCAAGUCAUGUGGUUAAGAUUAGAUUUUAUCUUGCAAUAUGACUUUUGUUUUCCUGUAUUUUGUUUCUUUGAAACUAUUCAUUUAAUGUUUGUAAUCUUUUUGAUGUACAAUAUUUUAUUUUACAUAGGAUCAGGGACUAUUGGUUUUGAAUAAAAGAAAACAACAGUUUUAUGUAGUUUGUGAGAUGAAUGUGUAACGAUGUGCGCUGAGAGUCGGGAAGCAAAUUCAGGGAGUGAGUGUUUUAAUAAUUAAACGCAACAUAAUACAAACCACAAACAACGCAUAGACAGGGAACUGAAACAGAAACAAUGACACCUGGAAAAGGAACCAAAGGGAGUGACAUAUAUAGGGAAGGUAAUCAGGGAAGUGAUGGAGUCCAGGUGUGUCUGAUGAUGCGCAGGUGCGCAGCCUGGUGACCAAGAGGCUGGAGAGGUAGCACACGUGACAGAAUGGUGGAUGGAGCCUCAACUCUUCUAUUUCAGUGUAAAAGUGUAAAGACAAUAUGAAAACAUGGUACAUAUUGUAGCCUCUAAGUUUUACUAUAUACACUUGUUGUAUUUUUACUAUCAGGUGUGUACUUUUGGGUGAUGAUCACGUCUAUGCAAGUUAGUGGAUUACAAAUGUAUGGUAAAAAGGGUCCGGUCAGUUUAGUUUUAGUUAGCUUAGAUCAACAACACAACGUCUCUACUGUAUAUAAACUCUGCAUCAGCACUGUAACGAUUCCUGGUGCAUUCCAAAUGACACCCUAUUCCCGACAGGGCUCUGGACAAAAGUAGUGCACUAUAAAGGGAUUAGAAUGUCAUUUUGGACACCUCAAUGAUGCUUACCGUAUAUCAUCUGGUCCCUGUGCCUGCUGGAUUUGCUCAUACCGAUGACAUAAAGAACAGGUCAUCUACAAGUCCAAGAUGAAUUUUGAGCCUUGUGAACACACCUCAUGUGUAGUUUCUGGUAAACCAUGGCUAUAUGUAACGUCAUGACAAUUCUCUUUUGUUCAAUUACUAUUUCUGUUUGAACCACAACAUGGAUAUCAGCUAGCCUUUAAUGCACAUGAUUUAAAACACCGAUGAUACAUUAUGGAAUAAUCACCAAUACACAUUAUUAUAAUCUUUUUUUUUUUAGGUUUCACUGUUUGCCCUUUAGUGGAAUUAAUGUGGUAGAAUGAAAAAGAGUAGUAUAUCUACUGUAUCUAUGCUAAUUUGACUGCAUAGUUUUGAAUAGAAAAGGUAUUAUGUUUGUGGUGUUAUCAUGUGAGACUAGAGCACAUGGGGGAUGUGGGUGAAAACAUGAUUUAAGGGAUGUUUACAACAUUUAAUCCAUAGAAUGGUCCUUUGUAUCUAAAAGCAUAAUUGAGAAAUAAUUCAUCAAAGUUGUCAUAUUUAUGAAAUGUUGAUCUUACACAGGUCUCUUUUAAGACUCCAUUAUGUUUAUCUGUAGGUGCUACAAAGCAAACAUUGGUGGCAUAUGAAGCUUUACCGCUUGCUCUGUAAUAUGAGUAGUAUUUUGUUUUCAAUAACAAUUUUCUUGCAUUAAUUUAUGAAAACUGAAGAAUAAGUACAUUUUUGAUUUAGCAAUUUUUUCUAUAUAUUGUUGAACGUAAUAUACUCUAUGGACAUAUCAAAGUUCUCUGUUACUUUUAGUUAAUAUCCCAUUUGUAAGCAUUA
Oncorhynchus tshawytscha (Chinook salmon) is the source of this 5416-nucleotide long non-coding RNA. The record is from Ensembl. NCBI's taxonomy places the organism in Eukaryota, Metazoa, Chordata, Actinopteri, Salmoniformes, Salmonidae.